RNAcentral lists this transfer RNA (83 nucleotides) under Fibrobacterales bacterium. Its description in RNAcentral is "tRNA-Ser". It matches the Rfam family "tRNA". Rfam says of the family: Transfer RNA (tRNA) molecules are approximately 80 nucleotides in length. Their secondary structure includes four short double-helical elements and three loops (D, anti-codon, and T loops). The record is from RNAcentral. Lineage: Bacteria; Pseudomonadati; Fibrobacterota; Fibrobacteria; Fibrobacterales.
GGAGAGAUGACGGAGUGGUCGAUCGUGACGGUCUCGAAAACCGUUGUUCGCAAGAACCGAGGGUUCGAAUCCCUCUCUCUCCU